UUAUUAGAUCAAAAUCAAUCGGCUUCGGCCGUCUCCUUGACGACUCUGAAUAACUUUGGGCUGAUCGCACGGCCUUGCGCCGGCGACGUAUCCUUCGAAGGUGUGACCUAUCAACUGUCGACUGUGGCAUAGACGCCCACAGUGGUUUUGACGGGUAACGGGGAAUUAGGGUUCGAUUCCGGAGAGGGAGCCUUAAAAACGGCUACCACAUCCAAGGAAGGCAGCAGGCACGCAAAUUACCCAAUGACCGAAGGUCGAGGUAGUGACGAAAAAUAACGAUACGGGACUCAUCCGAGGCCCCGUAAUUGGAAUGAGUACACUUUAAAUCCGUCCCCGAGGAUCUAUUGGAGGGCAAGUCUGGUGCCAGCAGCCGCGGUAAUUCCAGCUCCAAUAGCGUAUAUUUAUGUUGCUGUGUUUAAAAAGCUCGUAGUUGGAUCUCGGCAGCUAGAGGGCGGUCCGCCUUGUGGCGUUACUGCCCUAUUAGCUGUAGUUUUGUCAGAGGUUUCUGGGUGCUCUUCACCGAGUGUCCUGAGAUGCUGGCAGGUUUACUUUGAAAAAAUUAGAGUGCUUAAAGCA
This 576-nucleotide ribosomal RNA is filed under the name uncultured eukaryote. Its description in RNAcentral is "SSU rRNA". It matches the Rfam family "Eukaryotic small subunit ribosomal RNA", at positions 203 to 782 of the family's 1831-position model. The record is from RNAcentral.